This 315-nucleotide unclassified non-coding RNA is filed under the name air metagenome. Its description in RNAcentral is "partial contains small subunit ribosomal RNA, internal transcribed spacer 1, and 5.8S ribosomal RNA". The stretch from base 1 to 46 matches the Rfam family "Eukaryotic small subunit ribosomal RNA", at positions 1786 to 1831 of the family's 1831-position model. The record is from RNAcentral.
AAGUCGUAACAAGGUUUCCGUAGGUGAACCUGCGGAAGGAUCAUUAUUGAAAUAAAUCUGAUGGGUUGCUGCUGGUUCUCUAGGGAGCAUGUGCACACUUGUCAUCUUUAUAUCUCCACCUGUGCACUUUUUGUAGACCUGGAUAUCUUUCUGGAUGCCUGCGCAUUCAGGUUUGAGGAUUGACUUCACUGUCUUUCCUUACAUUUCCAGGCCUAUGUUUCUUCAUUAUACUCCUAUGUAUGUUAUAGAAUGUAAUAAAUGGGCCUUUGUGCCUAUAAACUUAUACAACUUUCAGCAACGGAUCUCUUGGCUCUC